RNAcentral lists this unclassified non-coding RNA (231 nucleotides) under fungal sp. Its description in RNAcentral is "partial internal transcribed spacer region". The stretch from base 1 to 46 matches the Rfam family "Eukaryotic small subunit ribosomal RNA", at positions 1786 to 1831 of the family's 1831-position model. Lineage: Eukaryota; Fungi. The record is from RNAcentral.
AAGUCGUAACAAGGUCUCCGUUGGUGAACCAGCGGAGGGAUCAUUACAGAGUUGAAAAACUCCAACCCUUGUGUAUCUUACCUUCGUCGUUGCUUCGGUGGCAAAGGUGUCCUCCCUCCGCGGGGGGGUUACGGCGCCGCCGGAGGUUUACAAACUCUUGGUUUUUAGUGUAUCUCUGAGUUUAAAAAAUAAUAAUAAUUAAAACUUUCAACAACGGAUCUCUUGGUUCUG